GACGAACGCUGGCGGCGCGCUUAACACAUGCAAGUCGAGCGAGAACCAGGGCUUCGGCCCUGGGGACAGCGGCGAACGGGUGAGUAACACGUGGGUAAUCUGCCCUUGACAUCGGGAUAG
RNAcentral lists this ribosomal RNA (120 nucleotides) under uncultured bacterium. Its description in RNAcentral is "partial 16S ribosomal RNA". It matches the Rfam family "Bacterial small subunit ribosomal RNA", at positions 28 to 146 of the family's 1533-position model. The record is from RNAcentral.